CACGUAGGGGCAAGCGUUGGUCCGGAUUUAUUGGGCGUAAAGAGCUCGUAGGCGGUUCGAUAAGUCGGGUGUGAAACCUCCGAGGCUCAACCGUGGAGACGCCACCCGAUACUGUCGUGACUAGAGUCCAGUAGGGGAGCGUGGAAUUCCUGGUGUGAGCGGUGAAAUGCGCAGAUAUCAGGAGGAACACCAGCGGCGAAGCGGCGCUCUGGGCUGGCACUGACGCUGAGGAGCGAAGCGUGGUAGCGAACAGG
Molecule: ribosomal RNA, 254 nt
Filed under: uncultured bacterium
Lineage: Bacteria
Description: partial 16S ribosomal RNA
Rfam family: Bacterial small subunit ribosomal RNA
Source: RNAcentral